GUGAGUUCUUUCCUUUACUUCUUCCCCUCCUCAUCUAAGGAGGGGGAGUGAGUGAGCGGUUGUGGUGUUCAGCUGCCUAGCACGGUAAAACCACCACACUCCGUCAGGGAUCAAGUCCUGCUGGUGUUGCCAGAUGUGUGUCCACAUUGCUUAUUGCUGGUGUUCAGCUGUGGUCUCAGCUGUAGAGAGACCAAAGGAGGAUUUGUGUUGAGCUGAUCUACAUCUUAACCAUUCUCAGUAUGCCAAAGAACAUCUUUAAGAAGUUCACUGACCGACAUCUACACCGGAUAUUUGAACUAACGUAAAUGAGCUUUGAAAGCUCAGUAUCUGGAUUAUGGAAGCAAGUAGAAGCUCAGUCUCCAUGUGUGUCUGCAGCCCCAAAAACUAAGUUAUACCAAGAAGGUUCUAUAG
Molecule: long non-coding RNA, 411 nt
Filed under: Anser cygnoides (Swan goose)
Lineage: Eukaryota; Metazoa; Chordata; Aves; Anseriformes; Anatidae
Description: lncRNA (ENSACDG00005017022.1)
Source: RNAcentral